CCGAGGCACAAAUGAAGUCCUCGUUAUUGGAUUGCACAUGGUUGAAAAAUGAGUAUAGAUCCUUAAUCUUGAAAGUACUGGGAAUUUUUAAUGAAGCUCAAAGAACUGAGGAGCACUUUAUUCCUUUUCUCCUUUAUUUAUUUUAUUUUAUUCUUUUUCUUUUUUUCUUUCUUUCUUUUUCCACAUUUUUUCUUUUUGCUCCUCAGGACUUCUUGCAACAAAGUCCUUUUCUCAGCAGUAGUCAGAGAUAAUGCGAUGAGUCCUUCCCCUAUACUUAGACAAUACUCGUCCUCGAGCACGAAAAAGGAAGAAAGAUAAACUGGUGAGGUACGUACCAAAAUAUUCAAUCUUCACCAAAAAUUAUUUUAUUCCUUUGGAGGGUUAUCCACACAAAAAUUCAGAGCGUUUAGGGGUGAAAAC
RNAcentral lists this long non-coding RNA (420 nucleotides) under Setaria viridis. RNAcentral's name for it is "long non-coding RNA (SVIR_LNC010894)". The record is from RNAcentral. Lineage: Eukaryota; Viridiplantae; Streptophyta; Magnoliopsida; Poales; Poaceae.